This 1197-nucleotide ribosomal RNA is filed under the name Triticum aestivum (bread wheat). RNAcentral's name for it is "partial small subunit ribosomal RNA". Lineage: Eukaryota; Viridiplantae; Streptophyta; Magnoliopsida; Poales; Poaceae. The record is from RNAcentral.
AUGAGUUCAGACGCCAGAGAUGUAUGUGUUGUUGGGGUUGCACGCACCCCUAUGGGUAGUUUCCUUGGUGGCUUGUCUUCCUUGCCUGCUACGAAACUUGGCUCUAUAGCAAUUGAAGCUGCUCUGAGAAGGGCAAAUGUCGAUCCAUCCCUUGUGCAGGAGGUCUUCUUUGGCAAUGUCUUGAGUGCUAACUUGGGGCAAGCUCCUGCAAGACAAGCUGCUUUAGGUGCAGGGAUACCAAAUACGGUUGUUUGCACCACAGUCAACAAAGUUUGCGCAUCUGGCAUGAAAGCGACCAUGUUUGCUGCGCAAUCAAUUCAACUGGGAAUCAAUGACAUUGUUGUGGCAGGUGGGAUGGAAAGCAUGUCGAAUGCUCCGAAAUACAUUGCUGAAGCUAGAAAAGGAUCUCGUUUCGGACAUGACAGCCUCGUUGAUGGCAUGCUUAAGGAUGGCCUUUGGGAUGUAUACGGUGAUUAUGCUAUGGGAGUGUGCGCUGAGCUUUGUGCUGACAAUCAUGCCCUGACGAGGGAAGACCAGGAUGCAUAUGCUAUUCAAAGUAAUGAGCGUGGAAUUGCUGCUCGUGACAGUGGUGCUUUUGCAUGGGAGAUUGUUCCGAUUGAAGUUCCUGUUGGUAGAGGGAAACCUGCAGUGCUUGUUGACAAAGAUGAGAGCCUAGACAAGUUUGACGCAGCCAAGCUGAAGAAGCUACGACCAGCAUUCAAGGAUAAUGCUGGUACUGUUACUGCUGGAAAUGCUUCUAGUAUAAGUGAUGGUGCUGCAGCAUUAGUAUUGGUGAGUGGGAAGAAGGCUCAAGAACUUGGAUUGCAUGUCCUUGCAAGGAUCAAGGGAUUUGCCGAUGCAGCCCAAGCUCCUGAACUAUUUACCACUACCCCAGCACUUGCCAUACCAAAGGCUCUCACGAAUGCUGGCCUAGAGUCCUCCCGUGUUGAUUUUUAUGAAAUCAACGAAGCCUUUUCGGCUGUUGCACUUGCAAAUCAAAAGCUUCUCGGAAUUCCUUCAGAAAAGAUAAAUGUACAUGGAGGAGCUGUAUCUUUAGGACACCCACUUGGGUGCAGUGGUGCUCGCAUUUUGGUCACCCUUCUUGGUGUUCUUAGGGAGAAGAGUGGCAAGAUCGGAGUUGCUGGUGUCUGCAACGGCGGUGGCGGUGCAUCUGCGCUCGUUAUGGAGCUCGCGUAA